UACGUAGGGUGCGAGCGUUGUCCGGAAUUACUGGGCGUAAAGAGCUCGUAGGUGGUUUGUCGCGUUGUUCGUGAAAACUCACAGCUCAACUGUGGGCGUGCGGGCGAUACGGGCAGACUAGAGUACUGCAGGGGAGACUGGAAUUCCUGGUGUAGCGGUGGAAUGCGCAGAUAUCGGGAAGAACACCCGUGGCGAAGGCGGCUCUCUGGGACGGUACUGACGCUGAGACGCGAAAGCGUGGGGAGCGAACAGG
RNAcentral lists this ribosomal RNA (253 nucleotides) under uncultured bacterium. RNAcentral describes it as "partial 16S ribosomal RNA". It matches the Rfam family "Bacterial small subunit ribosomal RNA", at positions 524 to 776 of the family's 1533-position model. The record is from RNAcentral.